UGGCUCAGAACGAACGCUGGCGGCGCGUCUUAAGCAUGCAAGUCGAACGGCAAGAGGUAGCAAUACCUCCUAGAGUGGCGGACUGGUGAGUAACACGUGGGUGACAUACCCUUCAGAUGGGGAUAGCUAUUAGAAAUAGUAGAUAAUACCGAAUACGAGCACAGGGGUUAGAGAUCUGUGAGGAAAGGAGCUAAGGCUCCGCUGAAGGAAUGGCCUGCGGCCCAUUAGCUAGUUGGUGAGGUAAGAGCCCACCAAGGCGAUGAUGGGUAUCCGGCCUUAGAGGGUGAACGGACACAUUGGGACUGAGAUACGGCCCAGACUCCUACGGGAGGCAGCAGCUAAGAAUAUUCCGCAAUGGACGAAAGUCUGACGGAGCGACGCCGCGUGGAUGAAGAAGGCCGGAAGGUUGUAAAAUCCUUUUGAAACUGAAGAAUAAGCGUUGUAGGGAAUGACAGCGUGGUGACAGUAGGUUUUGAAUAAGCAACGGCUAAUUACGUGCCAGCCGCAGC
Molecule: ribosomal RNA, 509 nt
Filed under: uncultured bacterium
Lineage: Bacteria
Description: bacterial SSU rRNA
Rfam family: Bacterial small subunit ribosomal RNA
Source: RNAcentral